CCUCAAAGGUGAAGUUACACUUUUUCGCCAGCAGGGGGCGUUUAUGUCCGUGAGGCUGUUUUAAGCAAGUCAAAAUGGCGGACAACAACAGCGCUGGACCAUCAAUGGAUUCUUCAACAUCAUUAAAAGAACUGUAUUCACCAGGAGGGAGGUGAAGAGCUGCUCUGGGACUGGGUUCAUUAUCACUGAGGAUGGGGUGAUCGUUACCUGCGCCCACAUUCUCCAGGGGAACAGCUGAGUGGAGGUGGAGCUUCAGAGCGGCCAAAAAAUUCCUGCCACAAUCCAAAAAACGGACAAGGAGGCUGACAUUGCCCUUCUAAAAAUUAAUUCGUUGGUGAGAAUGUGCUUCCUCUGUAGAGAUGGGAGCUGUAGAUGUCAAGCAGAGAUCUUCUGAUGUAGUAGGUGGUGUCAAGGAUCUGCUCAAAUCUGCGUUGUCUUCAUCGCCCUCCCACGGAUGAAGCUGCCCACCCUAAAGUUGUGCGGCCAGGCUCUCGCACAAUAUGGU
Molecule: non-coding RNA, 505 nt
Organism: Oryzias latipes (Japanese medaka)
Lineage: Eukaryota; Metazoa; Chordata; Actinopteri; Beloniformes; Adrianichthyidae
Source: RefSeq, a predicted model, not a curated record